UUUUCUUCCAAAUAGCUAGGUUGAGAAUAAAGCAAUAUAUAAAAACAACAAACACCCUUUCGGUUUACAAUGUGGGACUAAACAUCACAUAUGGAUAUUUUAGUUGGGCUCCCCAAGCAGCUCAUUAACAAUUACUGGGCUCUCAAGAGGUUUUAAUAAGUUUUCAAUCAUAACAAAUCCAAUAAAAUCCAAUAGCAAUUAUGUCUUAAACGAUGCAACUUUUUUUUCUUUUUUCUUCUCUAUUUCUUAGCCUUUUCUACCGUGACCACAAUAUAUAAGCCCUCCAAGAAGAAGAAAAAUAUAUUUUUCCAUUAUUUUUUCUUUUAUUUCUUUUUUCUUCCUUUUCUUUUCUUCAUUUUUUUUCUUCAUUUUCCUCACUUUCUGCAUUCUUUUUUGUUAUCAUGUCUUCUCCCUCGCUGUCUGCCGCAGUAGCCACCCCUGCCUUUUACGCACUUUUCCUCUCCGCCCUCCUCAAAGCAUGCAUGUGCCACCCUCGUUGCCGUCACCAUCCAUGAUCACGCCGUCCACCACAAUCUCACCUCUCUGAUUGUGUCAUAUCCAAGCCCCCGCCUUAAUCUGGUGAAAAUUUAUUAGCAGUCAUAGUUUUUGGUUUUGUUGAUAUCGCCGCCUGAGUCGAUGGAGGUAUGGGCAAGAUAGGCGAGAGGAGUAUGGUCUUGACGUGAAGACAAUAGAGAAGGAGAGAAAAGAGGCGAGAGGAGAAAGAAAGGAAAGGAGAAGAUGAGGAGGAAGACGAAGAGAGAGGAGAAAAACGAAAAGAGAGAAACGAGAGAAAACGAGGAAUAAGAGUAUUUUGAUUAGUUUAUUAAAAAUUCAGAUCGUAUAUGCAAAAUUCAAAAAAAAAAGAUGUAUUUUUA
This 875-nucleotide long non-coding RNA is filed under the name Ananas comosus (pineapple). Its description in RNAcentral is "long non-coding RNA (ACOM_LNC001688)". The record is from RNAcentral. Lineage: Eukaryota; Viridiplantae; Streptophyta; Magnoliopsida; Poales; Bromeliaceae.